UACGGAGGGGGCAAGCGUUGUUCGGAGUCACUGGGCGUAAAGAGCUCGUAGGCGGCAGUGUAAGUCGGGAGUUAAAGGCAACAGCUUAACUGUUGUAAGGCUUUUGAAACUACAUUGCUAGAGUACCAGAGAGGUAAGCGGAAUUUCCUGUGUAGCGGUGAAAUGCGUAGAUAUAGGAAGGAACACCGGUUGCGAAGGCGGCUUACUGGCUGGUAACUGACGCUGAGGAGCGAAAGCGUGGGUAG
This 245-nucleotide ribosomal RNA is filed under the name uncultured Geovibrio sp. Its description in RNAcentral is "partial 16S ribosomal RNA". It matches the Rfam family "Bacterial small subunit ribosomal RNA", at positions 524 to 768 of the family's 1533-position model. Lineage: Bacteria; Pseudomonadati; Deferribacterota; Deferribacteres; Deferribacterales; Geovibrionaceae. The record is from RNAcentral.